RNAcentral lists this unclassified non-coding RNA (148 nucleotides) under uncultured Helotiales. RNAcentral's name for it is "sequence contains ITS2". Lineage: Eukaryota; Fungi; Ascomycota; Leotiomycetes; Helotiales. The record is from RNAcentral.
AAACCAAUCUAGCCUUAUGGUUAGGUCUUGGGCCUUCGCCUCUAGGCGGGCCUUAAAAUCAGUGGCGGUGCCCUUUGGCUCUAAGCGUAGUAAUACUCCUCGCUAUAGACGUCAGGCGGUGUCUUGCCAACAAGCCUAAUUUUUCAAA